AACAUGUUUGGUGAAAGAAAAAUAAAUCCAAGUAUAAAAACAGAGUCUUCUUUUAUGCACUUGCAGACCUGACAGUAACCAGAUGAUCUCAAAAGACUCAGAUUAUGAAGCAGUUUUAAAAGAAGAAUGGGGAAGAGGAGAACAUUUAGGUAUGGCUUCCAAAAAGCCUUGGCAUAAACUCUGAAAGUCUUGCCCACACCAGCAAUUGCGGAGAGCUACUCAGAAAGCUUUCUUUCCAAGGAGAGAGGAAGAGGGAGAUUUCACACACAGAGAAGAUGAUGUGAAGACAGAAGCAGAGAUUGGAGGGUUGUAACCAAAAGCCAAAGAAUGCUAACGAAUGUUGGCAGCCACCAGGAGCUAGAAGACUCAAGAAACAGAUUCCCCCCAAACCUCUGGAAGGAGCAUAAUCCUGCCCACACUUUGAUUUUGGACUUCUAGACUCUAGAACUGUGAGAGAGUAAAUUUGUGUUAUUUUAAGUCACAAAGGUUGUGGUAAUUUUUUGUAGCAGCCACAGGAAAUUAACACAAUGGGUAAGU
Mesoplodon densirostris (Blainville's beaked whale) is the source of this 537-nucleotide long non-coding RNA. RefSeq lists it as uncharacterized. NCBI's taxonomy places the organism in Eukaryota, Metazoa, Chordata, Mammalia, Artiodactyla, Ziphiidae. The record is from RefSeq and is a predicted model, not a curated record. The transcript is spliced from 3 exons.